RNAcentral lists this long non-coding RNA (1248 nucleotides) under Equus caballus (horse). RNAcentral's name for it is "lncRNA (ENSECAG00000052802.1)". Lineage: Eukaryota; Metazoa; Chordata; Mammalia; Perissodactyla; Equidae. The record is from RNAcentral.
CCGCGAGGGACGAAAACAUCUGUUCGGGCAGAGGCUGGGAAGGGGAGGCGGGGGGGCGUCGCGCUGCGGGGUCGCACCACACCCCGGCGCGCCACCAGGGCAUAGGGCCCCUGCCGCUCGCAAACGAGUUUCGAGAUCGCAGGCGCCCCGGGCCUAAGGGCGCGGGGAGGCCGCCGGCAGCGCGCGGGGAGGGCGUUCCGCGGUCUCCUGCGCCCUGCCGGACCAGCCCUGACCUUUGUUCUCUACUCACGCCCACUAGGCUCGGGCGGGGGCCUUUCCUCCGCCACUCUCCUCGUCCGCUCGAGGUAGUGCAUGCACAUGGUGAAAAGAAAUUCAAACAGGACAAAACGAUGCGCAUACAAACAGGCUUCAAUCCGUUGCUCAAUUGAAGUAUGGAAAUACUGCUUGUCAAAGACUUUUUGACACAUGAAUUUUACAGCAAAAUAUCAGCGCACCUACUGCUUGGAUUUCUAACUCAUUCUUCGUAGAAUCUACAGCUGAUCCAAUCUACUGCUGCCAACAUGGUUUGUGGAGUUAAGCUUGGCUACAGCACCAUGGUUUUCUUUGAACUGAAGAGUUUUCUGAGGUUUUAUUUUCCUUCCUUGGGCUGAGAAACAUAGACGAGACCUAUCUUACUUGAUAAAAAUGAUGGUGUCGAGUCCAUAGUGUAGAAGAGUGGGGUUUGCAGAGCUGAGAAGCUCGUAUUGCCUCUGGAACCUGCAAGACAGAGCCCUCUGAACCUUAAGGGAAGAAUCUAGGAAAGCCUGGUGCAGGAACUUGGGCAGGAUUAAUAAGGAAAUAUCUGUGAAACUCUUGGAGAAAGAUGCCUCAAAGGGGAAGAAAUUAUUUUACUUGACUCUGUUGCCUUGUGGGUGAGCUGAAUUAAAAAGGAGGAGAAACAAGUGUUUAGAAUUUGCAUUUAAAAACAAUGAAAAGUAUAGAGUGAAAGAGUCAAUUUCUUUUUCUUCUUUUUAUUAUUUUUAAUUUUAAGCAUAGUGUAUGCUUAUUCUGAAAGACUUAUUUUCUGUCCCCAGGGAUAACUAUCGUGAACUGCUCAGUAUAUAACCUGUCAGACCCUCUUCUUGCAUAUUUAAACACAUUCAUUAAAAAAUAAAGGAUCCUCCUGGACAUGUGUUCUAUCAGCAGCUUUAGAAACAAUUCACCAAUGCGUUAUGACAGUCUGUCUUUGUUCACAUGCUAUAGUGUUAUGGUAGGCAGGAUUAUGAGAAUGACCCGCAAUGAUCCUUG